This 166-nucleotide ribosomal RNA is filed under the name uncultured bacterium. RNAcentral describes it as "partial 16S ribosomal RNA". It matches the Rfam family "Bacterial small subunit ribosomal RNA", at positions 1335 to 1500 of the family's 1533-position model. The record is from RNAcentral.
CUAGUAAUGGCAGGUCAGCAUACUGCCGUGAAUACGUUCCCGGGCCUUGUACACACCGCCCGUCACACCAUGAGAGUUGGGAAUACCCGAAGCCUGUGAGCCGACCGAAAGGGGGCAGCAGUCGAAGGUAGAAUCAAUGAUUGGGGUGAAGUCGUAACAAGGUAGC